UACGUAGGGUGCGAGCGUUGUCCGGAAUUAUUGGGCGUAAAGAGCUCGUAGGCGGUGUGUCACGUCGAUCGUGAAAACUUACAGCUUAACUGUGAGCGUGCGGUCGAUACGGGCAUCACUGGAGUUCGGCAGGGGAGACUGGAAUUCCUGGUGUAGCGGUGAAAUGCGCAGAUAUCAGGAAGAACACCCGUGGCUAAGGCGGCUCUCUAGUACGGUACUGACGCUGAGACGCGAAAGCGUGGGGAGCGAACAGG
Molecule: ribosomal RNA, 254 nt
Filed under: uncultured bacterium
Lineage: Bacteria
Description: partial 16S ribosomal RNA
Rfam family: Bacterial small subunit ribosomal RNA
Source: RNAcentral